RNAcentral lists this unclassified non-coding RNA (337 nucleotides) under soil metagenome. RNAcentral's name for it is "partial contains 5.8S ribosomal RNA, internal transcribed spacer 2, and large subunit ribosomal RNA". The stretch from base 1 to 120 matches the Rfam family "5.8S ribosomal RNA", at positions 35 to 154 of the family's 154-position model. The record is from RNAcentral.
GAUGAAGAACGCAGCGAAAUGCGAUAAGUAGUGUGAAUUGCAGAAUUCAGUGAAUCAUCGAAUCUUUGAACGCACAUUGCGCCCCUUGGUAUUCCAUGGGGCAUGCCUGUUCGAGCGUCAUUUGUACCUUCAAGCUCUGCUUGGUGUUGGGUGUUUGUCUCGCCUCUGCGUGUAGACUCGCCUUAAAACAAUUGGCAGCCGGCGUAUUGAUUUCGGAGCGCAGUACAUCUCGCGCUUUGCACUCAUAACGACGACGUCCAAAAGUACAUUUUUACACUCUUGACCUCGGAUCAGGUAGGGAUACCCGCUGAACUAAAGCAUAUCAAUAAGCGGAGGA